UAUGGACUCAGGAUGAACGCUAGCGGCAGGCUUAACACAUGCAAGUCGAGGGGCAGCGGGAUGUAGCAAUACAUUGCCGGCGACCGGCGGAUGGGUGCGUAACGCGUAUGCAACCUACCUUAUACAGGGGAAUAACCUUUCGAAAGGGAGACUAACACCCCAUGGUAUUGAUUUAAGGCAUCUUAGAUUAAUUAAAUAUUUAUAGGUAUAAGAUGGGCAUGCGUAUGAUUAGCUAGUUGGUAAGGUAACGGCUUACCAAGGCGACGAUCAUUAGGGGUUCUGAGAGGAAGGUCCCCCACACUGGUACUGAGACACGGACCAGACUCCUACGGGAGGCAGCAGUGAGGAAUAUUGGUCAAUGGGCGCAAGCCUGAACCAGCCAUGCCGCGUGCAGGAAAGACGGCCUUAUGGGUUGUAAACUGCUUUUACAUAAGACUAACCGUAUAUUUGCGAAUAUACCUGAAUGUAUUAUGAGAAUAAGGAUCGGCUAACUCCGUGCCAGCCGCUGC
RNAcentral lists this ribosomal RNA (509 nucleotides) under uncultured bacterium. Its description in RNAcentral is "bacterial SSU rRNA". It matches the Rfam family "Bacterial small subunit ribosomal RNA", at positions 17 to 518 of the family's 1533-position model. The record is from RNAcentral.